This 240-nucleotide unclassified non-coding RNA is filed under the name plant metagenome. RNAcentral's name for it is "partial contains small subunit ribosomal RNA, internal transcribed spacer 1, and 5.8S ribosomal RNA". The record is from RNAcentral.
UUUCCGUAGGUGAACCUGCGGAAGGAUCAUUACCGAGUGAUGGUUUCUCAGGCCCCACCUCCCACCCUGUGUUUUUGUGACCUUGUUGCUUUGGCGGGCGCGCCUCGAUUAGAGGCCGCCGGAAGCUCACCGCUUUGGGCCCGUGCCUUUCAGUAGCCUCCUUAAAUUCUUAAUAAAACUGUCGUCUGAUUUAAUGGAUAUAAUGAAAAAAAACUUUCAACAACGGAUCUCUUGGUUCUG